GAUGAAGAACGCAGCGAAAUGCGAUAAGUAAUGUGAAUUGCAGAAUUCAGUGAAUCAUCGAAUCUUUGAACGCACAUUGCGCCCGCCAGUAUUCUGGCGGGCAUGCCUGUUCGAGCAUCAUUUCAACCCUCAAGCCCCAGUGGCCUGGUGUUGGGGACCGGCGACCUCGCCCGGGGGAACACCCCCGGCGCGUCCGCCGCCCCCGAAAUGAAUUGGCGGCCCCGUCGCGGCCUCCUCUGCGUAGUAGCACAACCUCGCAGCGGGAGCGCGACGCGGCCACUGCCGUAAAACGCCCAACUUUUUUUAGAGUUGACCUCGGAUCAGGUAGGAAUACCCGCUGAACUUAAGCAUAUCAAUAAGCGGAGGA
RNAcentral lists this unclassified non-coding RNA (367 nucleotides) under soil metagenome. Its description in RNAcentral is "partial contains 5.8S ribosomal RNA, internal transcribed spacer 2, and large subunit ribosomal RNA". The stretch from base 1 to 120 matches the Rfam family "5.8S ribosomal RNA", at positions 35 to 154 of the family's 154-position model. The record is from RNAcentral.